GGCCAGACUCCUACGGGAGGCAGCAGUGAGGGAUAUUGGUCAAUGGGGGAAACCCUGAACCAGCAACGCCGCGUGAGGGAAGACGGUUUUCGGAUUGUAAACCUCUGUCCUCUGUGAAGAUAAUGACGGCAGCAGAGGAGGAAGCUCCGGCUAACUACGUGCCAGCAGCCGCGGUAAUACGUAGGGAGCGAGCGUUGUCCGGAUUUACUGGGUGUAAAGGGUGCGUAGGCGGCCCUGCAAGUCAGAAGUGAAAUCCAGGGGCUUAACCCGUGAACUGCUUUUGAAACUGCAGGACUUGAGUGGAGUAGAGGUAGGCGGAAUUCCUAGUGUAGCGGUGAAAUGCGUAAAUAUUAGGAGGAACACCAGUGGCGAAGGCGGCCUGCUGGGCUUUAACUGACGCUGAGGCUCGAAAGCGUGGGGAGCAAACAGGAUUAGAUACCCCGGUAC
This 447-nucleotide ribosomal RNA is filed under the name uncultured bacterium. RNAcentral describes it as "bacterial SSU rRNA". It matches the Rfam family "Bacterial small subunit ribosomal RNA", at positions 329 to 793 of the family's 1533-position model. The record is from RNAcentral.